AUUGAACGCUGGCGGCAGGCCUAACACAUGCAAGUCGAACGAGUGGCGGACGGGUGAGUAAUGUCUGGGAAACCGCCGGAUGGAGGGGGAUAACUCCUGGAAACGGUAGCUAAUACCGCAUACCAUCAGAUGUGCCCAGUUGGGAUUAGGUUGUUGGUGGGGUAACGGCUCACCAGGGCGACGAGCCCUAGCUGGUCUGAGAGGAGUACCCGCCACACUGGAACUGAGAAACGGGCCAGACGUCUACGGGAGGCAGCAGUGGGGAAUAUUGCACAAUGGGCGCGAGCCUGAUGCAGCCAUGCCGCGUGUAUGAAGAAGGCCUUCGGGUUGUAAAGUACUUUCAGCGGGGAGGCGUUACCCGCAGAAGAAGCACCGGCUAACUCCGUGCCAGCAGCCGCGGUAAUUC
RNAcentral lists this ribosomal RNA (406 nucleotides) under uncultured bacterium. Its description in RNAcentral is "partial 16S ribosomal RNA". It matches the Rfam family "Bacterial small subunit ribosomal RNA", at positions 30 to 526 of the family's 1533-position model. The record is from RNAcentral.